UUCUCUUAGUGCUAAUUAAGAGUAUAACCUGCUCAAUGAAAUAAAUAGCCGCAAAUAUUUUUGUGCUAAGGUAGCAUAAUCAUUAGCUUUUUAAUUAAAAGAUAGAAUGAAUGGUUACAUGAAAUAAACACUGUAUCAUAAUAAUUAAUUUAACUUUAUUUACAAGUAAAAACGCUUUUAUAAAUUAAAUAAGACGACAAGACCCUGAUAAACUUAAUAUUUAGUUGGGGCAACUUAUUAAAACACACCUUCAAUUUUUAAAUCAAACAAACCUAUAAUAAAAGAAAAAGUUACUACAGGGAUAACAGCGCAAUUUUUUUUCAGAGUUCUUAUCAAAAAAAAAGAUUACGACCUCGAUGUUGAAUUAAUUUAUCUAUUUUAAGUAAAAAUAAUAAAAGACAGUCUGUUCGACUAUUAAAAAAUU
RNAcentral lists this ribosomal RNA (424 nucleotides) under Modisiminae gen. n. sp. Br16-44. RNAcentral describes it as "partial 16S ribosomal RNA". The record is from RNAcentral. Lineage: Eukaryota; Metazoa; Arthropoda; Arachnida; Araneae; Pholcidae.